AAUGUUUUUACUAAAUUCCCCAUUCUCUCUGCUGCCCCCGCUGUCGGCAGGGGUGAGGGACUAUAAAACCAGGACGUGGUGUGCCUCACUCAGACUCUACAACAUGAAAGAACCAAGAGGAUCACGUCUCUUUGAGCUCUGAAUAACACUGAACACAUGUCC
This is a long non-coding RNA of Amblyraja radiata (thorny skate), 162 nucleotides long. RefSeq lists it as uncharacterized. The transcript has 3 exons. Lineage: Eukaryota; Metazoa; Chordata; Chondrichthyes; Rajiformes; Rajidae. The record is from RefSeq and is a predicted model, not a curated record.